RNAcentral lists this long non-coding RNA (214 nucleotides) under Ananas comosus (pineapple). RNAcentral describes it as "long non-coding RNA (ACOM_LNC003767)". Lineage: Eukaryota; Viridiplantae; Streptophyta; Magnoliopsida; Poales; Bromeliaceae. The record is from RNAcentral.
AGAUGACUUGUUGAUCGAUUCUUGCAUAUAUACAGUAGUUGACCUAUUAAUCAGUAUCUACAUACUUUUGGUAGGAUGUUGAGUUGUUCCAUCCCAGUUGACUUGAUUAGUCAGUACUUACAUACAGUUGAGAGGAUGUAGAGUCGUUCCAUCCUAGUUGACUUGAGUGGUCGGUUCUUGUGCUUCUUUAUAGUUUGAUGACCUAUUGGUCGGC